Molecule: non-coding RNA, 29 nt
Filed under: Rattus norvegicus (Norway rat)
Lineage: Eukaryota; Metazoa; Chordata; Mammalia; Rodentia; Muridae
Source: RNAcentral
UCGGUGGUAGCAACAAGGCAAACUCUCCC